GAUGAACGCUGGCGGCGUGCCUAAUACAUGCAAGUCGAGCGAACGGACGAGGAGCUUGCUCCUCUGACGUUAGCGGCGGACGGGUGAGUAACACGUGGAUAACCUACCUAUAAGACUGGGAUAACUUCGGGAAACCGGAGCUAAUACCGGAUAAUAUAUUGAACCGCAUGGUUCAAUAGUGAAAGACGGUUUUGCUGUCACUUAUAGAUGGAUCCGCGCCGCAUUAGCUAGUUGGUAAGGUAACGGCUUACCAAGGCAACGAUGCGUAGCCGACCUGAGAGGGUGAUCGGCCACACUGGGACUGAGACACGGUCCAGACUCCUACGGGAGGCAGCAGUAGGGAAUCUUCCGCAAUGGGCGAAAGCCUGACGGAGCAACGCCGCGUGAGUGAUGAAGGUCUUCGGAUCGUAAAACUCUGUUAUUAGGGAAGAACAAAUGUGUAAGUAACUAUGCACGUCUUGACGGUACCUAAUCAGAAAGCCACGGCUAACUACGUG
Molecule: ribosomal RNA, 497 nt
Filed under: uncultured bacterium
Lineage: Bacteria
Description: partial 16S ribosomal RNA
Rfam family: Bacterial small subunit ribosomal RNA
Source: RNAcentral